UGAUUGGUGCUUGCAUCAUGAUUUACAUUUGAGUGAGUGGCGAACUGGUGAGUAACACGUGGGAAACCUGCCCAGAAGCGGGGGAUAACACCUGGAAACAGAUGCUAAUACCGCAUAACAACUUGGACCGCAGGGUCCGAGUUUGAAAGAUGGCUUCGGCUAUCACUUUUGGAUGGUCCCGCGGCGUAUUAGCUAGAUGGUGGGGUAACGGCUCACCAUGGCAAUGAUACGUAGCCGACCUGAGAGGGUAAUCGGCCACAUUGGGACUGAGACACGGCCCAAACUCCUACGGGAGGCAGCAGUAGGGAAUCUUCCACAAUGGACGAAAGUCUGAUGGAGCAACGCCGCGUGAGUGAAGAAGGGUUUCGGCUCGUAAAACUCUGUUGUUAAAGAAGAACAUAUCUGAGAGUAACUGUUCAGGUAUUGACGGUAUUUAACCAGAAAGCCACGGCUAACUACGUGCCAGCAGCCGCGGUAAUACGUAGGUGGCAAGCGUUGUCCGGAUUUAUUGGGCGUAAAGCGAGCGCAGGCGGUUUUUUAAGUCUGAUGUGAAAGCCUUCGGCUCAACCGAAGAAGUGCAUCGGAAACUGGGAAACUUGAGUGCAGAAGAGGACAGUGGAACUCCAUGUGUAGCGGUGAAAUGCGUAGAUAUAUGGAAGAACACCAGUGGCGAAGGCGGCUGUCUGGUCUGUAACUGACGCUGAGGCUCGAAAGUAUGGGUAGCAAACAGGAUUAGAUACCCUGGUAGUCCAUACCGUAAACGAUGAAUGCUAAGUGUUGGAGGGUUUCCGCCCUUCAGUGCUGCAGCUAACGCA
Molecule: ribosomal RNA, 815 nt
Filed under: Lactiplantibacillus plantarum
Lineage: Bacteria; Bacillati; Bacillota; Bacilli; Lactobacillales; Lactobacillaceae
Description: bacterial SSU rRNA
Rfam family: Bacterial small subunit ribosomal RNA
Source: RNAcentral